AUGCCUCCCGAUCUACCACACUGGAGUGGCCGCCUCCUGGUUGAGGCUGAGGUGAUCACCAUGAGGAUGAGGAGGUCAGUGGCUGAUAUAGAGAGCUCCUCGAACGAGGAAGUAGCAGUUCUGGAGCAACUCGAAGAUGUCAUUUUUCAGUUUUGA
This 156-nucleotide ribosomal RNA is filed under the name Triticum aestivum (bread wheat). RNAcentral's name for it is "partial small subunit ribosomal RNA". Lineage: Eukaryota; Viridiplantae; Streptophyta; Magnoliopsida; Poales; Poaceae. The record is from RNAcentral.